Molecule: ribosomal RNA, 274 nt
Filed under: uncultured bacterium
Lineage: Bacteria
Description: partial 16S ribosomal RNA
Rfam family: Bacterial small subunit ribosomal RNA
Source: RNAcentral
AUACGAAGGAGGCAAGCGUUGUUCGGAAUAACUGGGCGUAAAGCGCACGUAGGCGGAAUGUUAAGUUAGAGGUGAAAUCCCAGGGCUCAACCCUGGAACGGCCUUUAAUACUGGCAAUCUAGAGACCGAGAGAGGUGAGUGGAAUUCCGAGUGUAGAGGUGAAAUUCGUAGAUAUUCGGAGGAACACCAGUGGCGAAGGCGGCUCACUGGCUCGGUACUGACGCUGAGGUGCGAAAGCGUGGGGAGCAAACAGGAUUAGAAACCCCAGUAGUCC